UCUUAACUAUCAAUUGAUUAUAAAACCAUAAUAAUUGAUGUUUAACAGCAGUGUUAAUGGCAUGAGGUUCAUUGCUUUGUCAUUAAACUCUGGGCACAUAUAUUUAAAAUAAUCAAUUGGUAUUUAUUUAACAUACAAUAACUUCUCUGUUACAUCUCAAUUAAAUGCUGGUUGUGAGGUGCUGUGGACAGGCAAAAGCGAAACACAGUCCUGAGUGUUUGACAAAAUAAGCAGGACUGUUUCCGCAGUUUCCAAAAUCCUGGCUUUCAAUAGUUAAAUGGGAGACAAAACCCUGAAGACCUAUUCAUGCCUGCCUUCAUUGCUUUAUCUCAAUAUCUCUUUCAGGUUCACAAACACUUGGAGAAGACUUCUCGGGCAGACGAGGCGCUUAUCUGGCAAGAAUUUGUGACCUGACCUCGAAAGGGUGGGCGGCGAUUUCCCACUUGCCUUUGAUGGUUGCGACACGUGGCAAAUGACUGUUCGUUGGACAUGAAGGAAGCGCUUCAUAGAGGAUCCAAGGGUGAUCUGUUAUACAUUACAGAUAUCAAAGACGACUGGCAAAUUGCUGUUCAACACUUUUCACCAUCUUCUCCCAACUUCCUAUCAACUGCAGCCAUAGACCAGGUCUUCAUUUACUGGCCGAGGCAACUACUUUCCGGGCAUGUCGGCGAGGUGUCCAUGACUGCUGCUGAAAAAGAUGCCAAGGACUUGGCAGGAUUUGUUGUAUUUGAUUUGCUGCCCCUUGCAUCCAAGAAAAAUCCACUGUUCCGUCAGCCGCCGAUGCUCCAGACCUGGCCUGACAAGCCUGGCUGUAUAUUUACAGUUGGCAGGAGCGAAGGCUUCAUCAAUCUUCCGGCUUUGAAGGGGACAGGCCCGUUCCCAUGAGCACCUGCUCCGGGAGAACAGCUGAACUGUGACUUUCCAGGGAGCUGGCUGUAAAUUUUCCCCAUUCUCUCUUUCCCUUCCACCUCCCAAACCCUACGCCGGGCUGGAGGUUUUUAACCUUCUUCGGCUGGCAGGCAUCCCAGCCAUCAGCUCCGAGCGGAAAGACUCGGCCUGUUUUUAAUUAACCUUUUCUUUCCCACUGCAGGCACUCUCAGGAUCCUUCACACUCAACGGGGGAACCGAACGCAAGAGCCGCCUCUUUGCCUGCAGUCACAAAGGGAAGGGCUCCGUUUCCCCUUUGUGUCUAGUGCAUUACCCCCAGUAGAUGAUGCUGGGGAACAGUCGCCUUGGCUGGCUUUCUUUCCAAAGGCGUCUUCUGAGAGCAGCACUGGACCAGGUGUUCAGGCUACUGGGUGUGUGGCUUGGCAUUUUGGGGAAGGGCUGAAAGGGCGGAGGAGGAUUCGGCAGCCUGUGCAUUCUACAAAUCAAAGAUGGCGGAUUCCCCAGCAUACCCUUCUUCGAAGGGGCAUUUUUUCAGGAGAGAAAUGGUUUCAGUGUGCCUUUCUUUUUCUUUUAAAGUACAGGCACUCUGCAUACGAUUUCCAUCCCUUUCCAGUUUGGAUUUCAACACNCAUCAGCCACAACUCAGCCCAUNCAUUUUGGACUCCAAUUCCCGUUCGUCCCACUUGACACAUCCAUUUUGAGNCCCAGUCCCACCACCCCAGUCAACAUAGCCCUUUUGAAUUCCAGUUCCCAUCAGUCCCAGGCAGCACAGCUAUUUUGGACCAGCCCCAACCUGCCUGGCCAGCGUCAGUGAGAUCUUCUAAAAGUUAAAGAAUCGGAAUCCACGACAUCAGCCUUUCUUACCAACAACAGGUUUGAAAUAUUGCAGGAGGAAUGACUGGAUGUUUAUAAAGACUUAGAGCAUAGUUCAUUAUUGCCUCAGUCUUCCCUAAGAACAGGACUUCAGGGUGAACAUUGUAGCAUGGACAAAUAAUUGAUAAAUAUUACGGAGCUUUUUUCAAAACAAACCUUCUUGAUCCAAGGGUUUGAUGCACCGGGUACAAAUCCUCCUCCACCUUCCUCUGUCUUUAGCUCCUGAGAUUGUUCUGUCCGUUUCCAGCUUGGACCAGCUGGUCUACCAACACNAUUCAUGGCCUUUCCUGGUUUGUACCUUGGAAAAUUCCUUUUCCAGAUGGUAUGGGAGCAUCACGGCUUUUUUCGUUGCCUGUAGAAGAACAUCACAGGUUUUAUGUAUCUACUUGGACCUUCAGACGUGUAGGGUUAUGCUUUUAGAAGAAAUGACAACAAGGCUUAACUANGGUUUUCAUCUGUCUGCCACUAGAGGCUGCUGUACUCCUCAUUAAAUGAAACAAAUAAACAAACAAAGUAGNCCA
Molecule: long non-coding RNA, 2282 nt
Filed under: Salvator merianae (Argentine black and white tegu)
Lineage: Eukaryota; Metazoa; Chordata; Lepidosauria; Squamata; Teiidae
Description: lncRNA (ENSSMRG00000014268.1)
Source: RNAcentral